AUUGAACGCUGGCGGCAGGCCUAACACAUGCAAGUCGAGCGGAUGAAGGGAGCUUGCUCCUGGAUUCAGCGGCGGACGGGUGAGUAAUGCCUAGGAAUCUGCCUGGUAGUGGGGGAUAACGUCCGGAAACGGGCGCUAAUACCGCAUACGUCCUGAGGGAGAAAGUGGGGGAUCUUCGGACCUCAGGCCAUCAGAUGAGCCUAGGUCGGAUUAGCUAGUUGGUGGGGUAAAGGCCUACCAAGGCGACGAUCCGUAACUGGUCUGAGAGGAUGAUCAGUCACACUGGAACUGAGACACGGUCCAGACUCCUACGGGAGGCAGCAGUGGGGAAUAUUGGACAAUGGGCGAAAGCCUGAUCCAGCCAUGCCGCGUGGGUGAAGAAGGUCUUCGGAUUGUAAAGCACUUUAAGUUGGGAGGAAGGGCAGUAAGUUAAUACCUUGCUGUUUUGACGUUACCAAAAGAAUAAGCACCGGCUAACUUCGUG
Molecule: ribosomal RNA, 484 nt
Filed under: uncultured bacterium
Lineage: Bacteria
Description: partial 16S ribosomal RNA
Rfam family: Bacterial small subunit ribosomal RNA
Source: RNAcentral